RNAcentral lists this ribosomal RNA (253 nucleotides) under uncultured bacterium. Its description in RNAcentral is "partial 16S ribosomal RNA". It matches the Rfam family "Bacterial small subunit ribosomal RNA", at positions 524 to 776 of the family's 1533-position model. The record is from RNAcentral.
UACAGAGGUCUCAAGCGUUGUUCGGAUUCAUUGGGCGUAAAGGGUGCGUAGGCGGCGCGGUAAGUCGGGUGUGAAAUCUCGGAGCUUAACUCCGAAACUGCAUUCGAUACUGCCGUGCUUGAGGACUGGAGAGGAGACUGGAAUUUACGGUGUAGCGGUGAAAUGCGUAGAGAUCGUAAGGAAGACCAGUGGCGAAGGCGGGUCUCUGGACAGUUCCUGACGCUGAGGCACGAAGGCCAGGGGAGCAAACGGG